AUUUGCUGCUUGUUUGCAAAGUGCACACCCCCUAGCCAGCUCCUCUGUGUUUGUGUGGUUGAGGAUUUGUUACCUGGUGCAUCUUUGGCUACGAGUUUUUCAUGUCUGGAUUUAUUUCCUAUUUCUUUGUGACCUCAUGCCCUUGCUUCAGUCAUUUUCACCUGUGGCCCAGAACUCAACCACGGUGCCUCCUUGUCACCUGUGCCACCCCGAGGAAUGGAGGCCACUGUGGGGGAGGGGGCAGGUGUUCCCAAAGAUAAGGAGGGGAGGGAACCUGGAGUGCGCCCGCCAGUGGGGAGAUGCCACGGCGCCACGGCAAGCAGUGCGGGUUUGACCACUGACUUCUGUCGCCUGCAUCACCGUACGUUGGCUUGGAAUAAAAGUGCCAAGCAACAGUGCUUUUCUUUCAGAUGUGUCACUGCCGUGAUCCGAUUCACUUUGUGCAGGAGAAAUCUGCAACCCCCUUGGGCCUCGUUGUUCUACGGUGGCCGGUGGCCGUUGUGAUGUUCGGACGGGAUCCUCAGGGUUGCUGCACAUUUUCUCCUGAACAUCAUGUCUCCACUUUGCCAUCUGGAUGAUGGGCAUGCUCCCAACAGAACCUGCCACAGAGGGUCACCCAACGGAUGGAAUAAGCUAACCUUUGUUCAGGACUGGGAACAGUGCUUGGAAUGCAGACACCGCUCUCCUCCCAGAGAGGAAGAGAGUGUGGCCCUCUGCACUGGGGAAUGUGAAGCAGAUCCAAGCCUUUCAACUCGAAAAUGCCCGCACGGUGCAUUGAAGUUUAUUCAGGCUUCCCCUUCCUCCAGUCUUCAGGACACAGACCGACGAGAAGGGAGAACUGAAGACAGAGUGCAGGAAAGGACCCAACCCAGUGGGGACUGCUUGGCAGGCACCUGGCAAGGAGUCUGGGGCUACCUGUGAGCAGAGCUGGGCAGCAGGUUCAAUGGAGCGGUGUGGCAAGGCUGAGGGGCAGAAGUGGCCCAGAGACUGGGGCAGCACUGUAGGUGAUUAAGCAAAUGCUGAGAGCAAAGACCAGUUGGAAAAUCAGAGCCAAGGGGAGAUUUCAGAUGGGAGCUUGGCCACCUGGUGGAGAUGGCAGCCACAGUGUUUGGAGUGUCUGCCUGUUGAGAUGAAGAGAACGAUGAGGAA
Long non-coding RNA from Lepus europaeus (European hare), 1149 nucleotides. RefSeq lists it as uncharacterized. NCBI's taxonomy places the organism in Eukaryota, Metazoa, Chordata, Mammalia, Lagomorpha, Leporidae. The transcript has 3 exons. The record is from RefSeq and is a predicted model, not a curated record.